GCAGGUUUAAGCGAAGAAUCGCUGUGUAAACUAUCUCGAUCCGCCCGUAGGAGACAAUCGUCCUACGGAAUCGAUAAAAGCCCACGGCCGGUCGACCGUGGGCUUCCUGGAAGGCA
RNAcentral lists this small RNA (116 nucleotides) under Sinorhizobium meliloti 2011. RNAcentral describes it as "putative ncRNA". The record is from RNAcentral. Lineage: Bacteria; Pseudomonadati; Pseudomonadota; Alphaproteobacteria; Hyphomicrobiales; Rhizobiaceae.